Molecule: unclassified non-coding RNA, 203 nt
Filed under: uncultured Calvatia
Lineage: Eukaryota; Fungi; Basidiomycota; Agaricomycetes; Agaricales; Lycoperdaceae
Description: sequence contains ITS2
Source: RNAcentral
AAUUCUCAACCCUUAUAGCUUUUGUAAGCUAUUUGGGCUUGGAGCUGGGAGCUUGCGGGCCUUACAGGUCAGCUCUCCUGAAAUACAUUAGCGGAACCGUUUGCAGUCCCGUCACUAGUGUGAUAAUUAUCUACACUGUGAUGACUGCUCUCUAGUUGUUCAGCUGCUAAUUGUCCAUUAGUGGACACUACUUAAUGAACCUC